UUUCAUUCCCCCAAAACUUCGUAUUUUUUCCCUCUUUCUCUAAAACUUUUGAACCUUAGCUAAUAACUGUGAGACUCAGCAGCUCAUUCACCUUGCCGACCUCAUCGUUCUCCAAGCUGACCUGCCUUGAGUUCCUGACAUCCUUCUCCAACCUGACGUGCUCCAAGUCCCCGACUUCAUUCUCCGACCUAAGUCGACUAGAGCCGCCUCUGAUCUGACCCAGAGUCCCCGACCUCGCUCUCUGACCCAACCUCCCUCUCCAGACCCCGAGCUUGAGAUCCAAUCUGAACUCGAGCUUAUUUGCCGACCUGAGCUUGUCAUUCUCCUAUUUGAGCCGGCUCUACGUCUAGUCGCGUGGGUCCUCUUUCUCUCUUCUCUAGCUUGGUGAUUUCCUGUCCGGUUUUGAUCUAAAGUUCAAUCUUUUUUGUUUAAUAAGUUGUAAUAGAAAGAAGAAAACAAACUCGAGCUGAAAAUGCAGUCGAUCUGAUUCGACUCGGCGGAGAAGGCGGCGACUCGUAUCAAGGGUUCAACUCGUAGUUAGAUGUGAGAUAUAUUCUGGGUUAAGAGAUUCUGGGAAACAUUUCAGUACAAGAUCUACCAGUAAUAUUACCAGGAUGAGUUUUGAAUUUUGAUUCCGUCAAGAGGAAUGAUGCCACUGGGCACCAUGCUACUGUGACUACUGGAGGGAUGGUGUAUUUAAAUCUGAAGGAUGACGAUCAGAUGUUGAUCUUCUUCUAAUAAACAUAGCUACAAAUUCCUUGAAAGGGGGACUUGCUAGUGAGGUUUGGGGUGAUAUACAGCUUGCAGCACUGCGUGCACUUUUGGCAUCUUUCUUGUCUUCAUCUCGUGUCCGCCCCCCUUACUUAGCUCAGGGUGUUGAUCUUUUCUGUAGAG
Rosa chinensis is the source of this 894-nucleotide long non-coding RNA. RefSeq lists it as uncharacterized. Lineage: Eukaryota; Viridiplantae; Streptophyta; Magnoliopsida; Rosales; Rosaceae. The transcript is spliced from 4 exons. The record is from RefSeq and is a predicted model, not a curated record.